UAGUCAGUGACUAAGGGAAACCAUUAAGUGAUCCACCUGGGGAGUACGUCGGCAACGAUGAUACUCAAAGGAAUUGACGGGGGCCCGCACAAGCGGAGGAGCAUGUGGUUUAAUUCGAUGAUACGCGAGGAACCUUACCUGGGCUUAAAUGCAGGCUGCAUUCAUGUGAAAGCGUGAUUUCCUACGGGACUGCCUGCAAGGUGCUGCAUGGUUGUCGUCAGCUCGUGCCGUGAGGUGUCGGGUUAAGUCCCAUAACGAGCGCAGCCCCUAUCGCUAGUUUGCCAGCAUGUAAUGGUGGGGACUCUAGCGAGACUGCCGGUGUAAACCGGAGGAAGGUGGGGAUGACGUCAAAUCAGCACGGCCCUUACGUCCAGGGCUACACACGUGUUACAAUGGCCGGUACAAAGAGCAGCGACCUGGCGACAGGGUGCUAAUCUUUAAAGCCGGUCUCAGUUCGGAUCGAAGUCUGCAAUUCGACUUCGUGAAGGUGGAUUCGCUAGUAAUCGCGCAUCAGCCA
This 517-nucleotide ribosomal RNA is filed under the name uncultured organism. RNAcentral's name for it is "bacterial SSU rRNA". It matches the Rfam family "Bacterial small subunit ribosomal RNA", at positions 837 to 1354 of the family's 1533-position model. The record is from RNAcentral.